UACAGAGGGUGCAAGCGUUGUUCGGAAUCACUGGGCGUAAAGCGCACGUAGGCGGAUUGCUAAGUCAGAGGUGAAAUCCUGGAGCUCAACUCCAGAACUGCCUUUGAUACUGGCGAUCUUGAGUCCGGGAGAGGUGAGUGGAACUGCGAGUGUAGAGGUGAAAUUCGUAGAUAUUCGCAAGAACACCAGUGGCGAAGGCGGCUCACUGGCCCGGUACUGACGCUGAGGUGCGAAAGCGUGGGGAGCAAACAGG
This 253-nucleotide ribosomal RNA is filed under the name uncultured bacterium. RNAcentral describes it as "partial 16S ribosomal RNA". It matches the Rfam family "Bacterial small subunit ribosomal RNA", at positions 524 to 776 of the family's 1533-position model. The record is from RNAcentral.